RNAcentral lists this ribosomal RNA (462 nucleotides) under uncultured bacterium. Its description in RNAcentral is "partial 16S ribosomal RNA". It matches the Rfam family "Bacterial small subunit ribosomal RNA", at positions 28 to 507 of the family's 1533-position model. The record is from RNAcentral.
GACGAACGCUGGCGGCGUGCUUAACACAUGCAAGUCGAGCGGAAAGGCCCUUCGGGGUACUCGAGCGGCGAAUGGGUGAGUAACACGUGAGUAACCUGCCCCAGACUUUGGGAUAACCCUCGGAAACGGGGGCUAAUACCGGAUACGACACAGCUUCGCAUGGGGUCUGUGUGGAAAGUUUUUCGGUUUGGGAUGGGCUCGCGGCCUAUCAGCUUGUUGGUGGGGUGAUGGCCUACCAAGGCGACGACGGGUAGCCGGCCUGAGAGGGCGACCGGCCACACUGGGACUGAGACACGGCCCAGACUCCUACGGGAGGCAGCAGUGGGGAAUAUUGCACAAUGGGCGGAAGCCUGAUGCAGCGACGCCGCGUGAGGGAUGACGGCCUUCGGGUUGUAAACCUCUUUCAGCAGGGACGAAGCGUAAGUGACGGUACCUGCAGAAGAAGCGCCGGCCAACUACGUG